GACGAACCGAGCAAACGUUAUUCGGAAUCACUGGGCUUAAAGGGCGCGUAGGCGGGCGUUCAAGUCUGUGGUGAAAUCCGGCAGCUCAACUGUCGAAUUGCCGCGGAUACUGGGUGUCUCGAGGGAGGUAGGGGCGCGCGGAACUAACGGUGGAGCGGUGAAAUGCGUUGAUAUCGUUAGGAACUCCGGUGGCGAAGGCGGCGCGCUGGACCUCUUCUGACGCUGAGGCGCGAAAGCCAGGGGAGCAAACGGG
This 253-nucleotide ribosomal RNA is filed under the name uncultured bacterium. RNAcentral describes it as "partial 16S ribosomal RNA". It matches the Rfam family "Bacterial small subunit ribosomal RNA", at positions 524 to 776 of the family's 1533-position model. The record is from RNAcentral.